This 119-nucleotide ribosomal RNA is filed under the name Pteropus alecto (black flying fox). Lineage: Eukaryota; Metazoa; Chordata; Mammalia; Chiroptera; Pteropodidae. The record is from RNAcentral.
GUCUACGGCCAUGCUACCCUGAACAAGCUCAAUCUUGCCUGAUCUUGGAAGCUAAGCAGGAUUGGGCCUGGUUAGUACUUGGAUGGGAGACCACCUAGGAAGACCAGGUACUGUAGGUA